Molecule: long non-coding RNA, 938 nt
Filed under: Bos indicus x Bos taurus (hybrid cattle)
Lineage: Eukaryota; Metazoa; Chordata; Mammalia; Artiodactyla; Bovidae
Description: lncRNA (ENSBIXG00000005234.1)
Source: RNAcentral
UUCCUGACCCUUUCUCCUGGUCACUCUGCUAAAUUCAAGUCCCGCAGGAAGACAACAAAGAGUUGGGAGGAGGAGACCAAAGAUGGUUAAACCAGGGGAACAGGAUCUGCGGGUGGUGCAAGAAGAGGGCUGAGGGCCACUCACCGCUCCGCCCCUGCAGUCCACUGCCCGGUAUUCCUGCCUCUCAGCUCGGCGGACGGUCCGGCUUCCACCACCGGGGCUCUUCAGGCAGGCGGCCCGAGUUCCCUCAGUCUCCUCACUUGGAUAUCAGGGGACCGGAUACAAAGAGCUCUGUGAUGCCUUUUGACUUCCCUGUACAGUCAAGGACAGCUGCAAGGUGGAGAUCUUCCAAAGGUCACCAAGAGCACCAAGCCUUCUAGCCCCAGUGCCAGGGGUUGACCUCAAAAGGAACUCCAGUGAGGUUUCUGGAAAACAUUCCAGUUCUUUCACCCAGCUCACACCAUAGCCCUCUGAAAAGGUUACACAGUGUCUCCUCGAAGUCCCGUCAGUGGAAAUUCGAGUGGAUUGUUAUUGCUUUCUUCUUCCAAGGCCCAUUCCCUCCUCCCCUAAUAAUGGAACCCUAGUUUUCCUUUAAGGAAUUGUCCUUUCUCUGUUGCCAGUCCUUGAGGGUUGAGCUCCAGGGACAGGCUCAUGAAAAGCUGGGCAAAAAGCCUAUUUUCCACCUCCGUGGUUGACUGAUGAUGGGAUAAAGGACAAAGGCAGACUCAAAUCAAGACGUUGGCCAGAGAUGCUGGAGGCCUUUGGCUUCUUUAUGGAAUGAAGUCUCACAGAAGAAAUCAGAGCUGGGAGCUGAAGAGGAGACAAUUGUUGAGAACAACAUUUGAGCCCCUAGAUCCAGCCAUGCCUGAAAGCCUAUACGUGGACUUUCAAUUACCUGAGCAAAUAAAUCCAUUCCCACUUUUUUGUUGUUGAAGGGA